UACGAAGGGGGCUAGCGUUGUUCGGAAUCACUGGGCGUAAAGCGCACGUAGGCGGAUCGUCUAGUCGAGGGUGAAAUCCCGAGGCUCAACCUCGGAACUGCCUUCGAUACUGGCGAUCUCGAGUCCGGGAGAGGUGAGUGGAACUCCGAGUGUAGAGGUGAAAUUCGUAGAUAUUCGGAAGAACACCAGUGGCGAAGGCGGCUCACUGGCCCGGUACUGACGCUGAGGUGCGAAAGCGUGGGGAGCAAACAGG
This 253-nucleotide ribosomal RNA is filed under the name uncultured bacterium. RNAcentral describes it as "partial 16S ribosomal RNA". It matches the Rfam family "Bacterial small subunit ribosomal RNA", at positions 524 to 776 of the family's 1533-position model. The record is from RNAcentral.